RNAcentral lists this ribosomal RNA (460 nucleotides) under uncultured bacterium. RNAcentral describes it as "partial 16S ribosomal RNA". It matches the Rfam family "Bacterial small subunit ribosomal RNA", at positions 338 to 795 of the family's 1533-position model. The record is from RNAcentral.
CCUACGGGUGGCAGCAGUGAGGAAUAUUGGUCAAUGGACGAGAGUCUGAACCAGCCAAGUAGCGUGAAGGAUGACUGCCCUAUGGGUUGUAAACUUCUUUUAUAUGGGAAUAAAAUGUUCCACGUUUGGGAUUUUGUAUGUACCAUAUGAAUAAGGAUCGGCUAACUCCGUGCCAGCAGCCGCGGUAAUACGGAGGAUCCGAGCGUUAUCCGGAUUUAUUGGGUUUAAAGGGAGCGUAGGUGGAUUGUUAAGUCAGUUGUGAAAGUUUGCGGCUCAACCGUAAAAUUGCAGUUGAAACUGGCAGUCUUGAGUACAGUAGAGGUGGGCGGAAUUCGUGGUGUAGCGGUGAAAUGCUUAGAUAUCACGAAGAACUCCGAUUGCGAAGGCAGUUCACUGGACUGCAACUGACACUGAGGCUCGAAAGUGUGGGUAUCAAACAGGAUUAGAGACCCCUGUAGUC